AUUCAACUUACGAGUCCCAGAACAGGACGAAACGCACGUCCUCGAU
RNAcentral lists this non-coding RNA (46 nucleotides) under Schistosoma margrebowiei. The record is from RNAcentral. Lineage: Eukaryota; Metazoa; Platyhelminthes; Trematoda; Strigeidida; Schistosomatidae.